CAGGCCGGUCUUCUGACUUGGCGUCAUCCGUCUGCCGCAGCCUUCCCGGCAAAAGCCAGUGGCAUGGUAAAGCGGCGGGCGUCGGCCUUACAGCGUUGGGCACGUUCCGGUCUUGCACCGGAUUCCCGAUUCUCCCGC
RNAcentral lists this small RNA (138 nucleotides) under Rhizobium phaseoli. RNAcentral describes it as "miscellaneous other RNA". RNAcentral also lists the same sequence under 1 other name. The record is from RNAcentral. Lineage: Bacteria; Pseudomonadati; Pseudomonadota; Alphaproteobacteria; Hyphomicrobiales; Rhizobiaceae.